Molecule: non-coding RNA, 444 nt
Organism: Pelobates cultripes (western spadefoot toad)
Lineage: Eukaryota; Metazoa; Chordata; Amphibia; Anura; Pelobatidae
Source: the annotation of a GenBank genome assembly
GCAAGCUUUGGGAGGACCCUAGAUAACUCUCAGCAAGUUGAUGUUUGCAUUCCAGUGGUUGUCAUUGCUCUGCUCUAUUCUGAAAGGAUUACUCCAAUAAUCAUGUUCGUUUCAGUGAUUUGAAGUGAUCAUGGUGCUUGGAGUCUGUAUGUGCAGUGUUUAACUAUGGAAAUCAUUAGUCGGCCUAAAACAAGAGUUCUCGACUGGCUAAGGUCAAUUCAUAUUGCAUAUUAGACAUUUGGCAAUUCACAUUGCAUAUUGGACGUCUGUUAUCAACACGCACAGCAUGCUGGUGGGCGGCUUGUUCCCCCCACCACCGAGCCGUCCAAGACUUCCUCUCAUUAGUCCUUCCUCCAUGGUGUCCCCAGAUGUCACUGGAGGAGGGUUGGGCUGACGGUAGAACUUGGUGAGUCUCCCCUAUUAUUUUGGGGGUGGGAGAAUGCC